This is a long non-coding RNA of Carassius gibelio (silver crucian carp), 1533 nucleotides long. RefSeq lists it as uncharacterized. The transcript has 3 exons. Lineage: Eukaryota; Metazoa; Chordata; Actinopteri; Cypriniformes; Cyprinidae. The record is from RefSeq and is a predicted model, not a curated record.
UUAAAACUGUUAAGAUAUGUUUUCUGCUCACAUUUUCUGUUUGACCCUUGGUUGGAAUUAAACAAUUUUUUUCAAAAAGAACCAAAAUUUCUAAAAUUUCUUUUCUUGCACUGCACACACCUCUCUCUCUCUCUCUGCAUCUGCUCUAUUCAGUGAGUGGCCUCGUGCCCACAACAGUUUAUAAAGCAUACUCAAAUGCAGAUGAGUGCGGACGGACGAGCUCCACACAUGCGCAGUACGAUCUACUUCCUGAAUCUACUAUUGUACGCAGAACAUUCACGCGGUCUCAAAAACUGCCUGCAUGCAGAUGAGGUGCGGGGCUAUCCGCGAGCCCUCCUGAUAACAAAAAUCACAUAAUGCAGACGGUGCACAAACGCUCACUGCCAAAGUACACCUGGGCCUUCUAAGUUAAGAAUUUGCAAAUUGUAUAUAAUGAGCUUGUAUAUCCUGAAUUCAUCUUCCAUAUUUUAUUAUAUAUUUAUAUGAUAUAUAUGUUUUUUAGUCAAUCUGUCUAACUAGUGUUCUUUUUGAAGUUCGAUAUUACAGGUGAUCGUGUAUCUGCACAUUCAACAAGUGACACGUGAGAGAGUGAGUACGCGCUUUGCGCGCACCCUUAAAUAGCCUGCCGUUGAAAAAAAACGUUUUUUUCAAAAACACGGCUGAAUGAAAUUACAAACAAUCAAAACUAAAUUCCACGUCGGCGAAUCGUCAGUAAACAAGCAGAUGGACAGGUGCACAGAGAGACCUCUGUGAAAGAAGCUUCAAUUAAAGAGUUAUACGAUGUUUUAGUGUAAUCAGGUCACUCUCUCCUCCGCACCCGGUCGAGCAAGAGUGGAGACACAAUCAAACAACACAGUCCACGAGGAAGAACGGCAAUAUAAAAUCGACUUCUUGUUACCACUACGCGGAAAUGAUGCAGGUUCCAAGGAUGAUAAAUGUGAGGGACACAGAAGUCCCCAUCUUGGACGUGGGGAUAAAAAGCGGCUCCAGAGUCCUUGAGGUGUCGUUAUGGCGGGACCAGGCCUUGUCCAAACUUAAAAUGAAUGACACCGUACUCAUUUCUCACCUUCGAGCAAGCGCCAGGGCCACAAACUUCAGCUCAACCAUCCACACAACUGUGGAGGUACCAAGGAUCAGUGGCGGAGGCAAUGGUGGUGAUUGGCUUGUCCGAAGCGUUUGGUGAGGUCUCCUUGCUCUUCAGCGAGUACACACAGCUCCUGAGUGAGUGUUGAAGAUCUGCUGUGCCAGAUCACACUUCAUUUGGAAGUAGUACAUGAACAUAGAAAAAUUGAAAAAAUGUAUUAUGUUGAUUAAAUGUACAUUUUUUAGUUGUGUGAAAUAGUUCUUUUACCUGUAAUUGUUUGUUUUAUUCUAUAUUAUUAUAAUAUUAUAUAUUAUAUUGUUCUUUAUAGAUUGUUUAUUUAUUGAUAUAGAUAGUAUUACUUUGUUUAUCUAACAUUAUUUUCAAUUUAUCCUAUUGUUAUUCAAUUUAAAGUGAUUUAUUCUGUUUGUGUUCAAGUGAAUUUUAAUACA